GCCCGAGUGGCGGAACCGGUAGACGCAGCGGAUUCAAAAUCCGCCGGUGGCAACACCUUGUGGGUUCGAGUCCCACCUCGGGCA
This 84-nucleotide transfer RNA is filed under the name Maritimibacter sp. HL-12. It matches the Rfam family "tRNA". Rfam says of the family: Transfer RNA (tRNA) molecules are approximately 80 nucleotides in length. Lineage: Bacteria; Pseudomonadati; Pseudomonadota; Alphaproteobacteria; Rhodobacterales; Roseobacteraceae. The record is from Rfam by way of RNAcentral.